CAGGAGGCGACCUGGGUUUCUUCAAACCCUAAAAUCCUCACUAAAACUCUCAAAUUGGAGGUGCAAAUCUGGUCCAAAACGAAAAUUGAGCAUAGAUUAUUGAUCCUCAUCACAAGAGGAUUACAAGUUGGCGCUUAAACAAGCCAGGUGAAGCUUGGAGUGAAAGCGGGUCAAACGAGUCAAGCAUAGAAGAAAAGCGUAGCUCGGAUGCAAGGUAUAAUUUUAGCACCGGAGGAGGAUCAAGCACAACGAAGAACCGAACACGAUCAAGAUAUAAGCUUCCGCACUUUGUAUCGUUGUUAUGUAAAAUGACGAACUCACCCAUAAUAUGUUGUAUAGUUUUUAAUUCUGUAAAUAAAGUUUAAUGAACCCGUAUUUUCAAUGUAUUUGAAAUCAUAAUUACUCGUUUGUUUUCGUAAAUUA
Helianthus annuus (common sunflower) is the source of this 423-nucleotide long non-coding RNA. RefSeq lists it as uncharacterized. The transcript has 3 exons. NCBI's taxonomy places the organism in Eukaryota, Viridiplantae, Streptophyta, Magnoliopsida, Asterales, Asteraceae. The record is from RefSeq and is a predicted model, not a curated record.